RNAcentral lists this transfer RNA (75 nucleotides) under Promethearchaeia archaeon. RNAcentral describes it as "Candidatus Lokiarchaeia archaeon tRNA-Arg". It matches the Rfam family "tRNA". From Rfam's summary of the family: Transfer RNA (tRNA) molecules are approximately 80 nucleotides in length. Their secondary structure includes four short double-helical elements and three loops (D, anti-codon, and T loops). Further hydrogen bonds mediate the characteristic L-shaped molecular structure. tRNAs have two regions of fundamental functional importance: the anti-codon, which is responsible for specific mRNA codon recognition, and the 3' end, to which the tRNAs corresponding amino acid is attached (by aminoacyl-tRNA synthetases). tRNAs cope with the degeneracy of the genetic code in two manners: having more than one tRNA (with a specific anti-codon) for a particular amino acid; and 'wobble' base-pairing, i.e. permitting non-standard base-pairing at the 3rd anti-codon position. The record is from RNAcentral. Lineage: Archaea; Promethearchaeati; Promethearchaeota; Promethearchaeia.
GGGCGUGUUGUCUAGCAUGGAUACGGCACCGGCUUCCGGAGCCGGCCUUCGCAGGUUCAAAUCCUGCCACGCCCG